UACAGAGGUCCCGAGCGUUGUUCGGAUUCACUGGGCGUAAAGGGUGCGUAGGCGGUCGGGUAAGUCUGAUGUGAAAUCUCACAGCUUAACUGUGAAACUGCAUUGGAUACUAUUCGGCUUGAGAGUUGGAGGGGGGACUGGAAUUCUCGGUGUAGCAGUGAAAUGCGUAGAUAUCGGGAGGAACACCGGUGGCGAAGGCGGUUCUCUGGGCCUGUACUGACGCUGAGGAGCGAAAGCGUGGGGAGCGAACAGG
This 253-nucleotide ribosomal RNA is filed under the name uncultured bacterium. Its description in RNAcentral is "partial 16S ribosomal RNA". It matches the Rfam family "Bacterial small subunit ribosomal RNA", at positions 524 to 776 of the family's 1533-position model. The record is from RNAcentral.